Pantherophis guttatus is the source of this 479-nucleotide long non-coding RNA. RefSeq lists it as uncharacterized. NCBI's taxonomy places the organism in Eukaryota, Metazoa, Chordata, Lepidosauria, Squamata, Colubridae. The record is from RefSeq and is a predicted model, not a curated record.
GGCAAGGCGGCCAGCGGGAUGUGAUCUUCACUGCUACUUAGAGAUGUCUCAUCAUAACUUUGGCAACACGUGGUCAGGAGCUCAUGAUCCUCAGCUGAACACAAGAUGGAAGGAGACAGUACACCAGGAAAUUAGCUUCUCCAGCUUAAAAAUGAAGGAGAGAGACCCAAGCAUUUCUCUGGAUGUAGAGAGAUGGGGAAGAAAAGUCAUAUUCCUGAGAUCUCAAGGGAACUGGCAUUUUGGACAGAAAAACACCAGCACUGGCUUGGUGUUAUCAACAUGCAAGUGUCCAACACAGAACUUCGAUAUAGUCCCAUGCAGUACAGUUUGAGAGGCCUUUUUUUAUGAUCACACCAAAACAUGGGAUUGACUGUUUGGAGAGACUCUCCUUAUAGUCUUUCACUAGUUGAUGAAAGCCUUAAUUAGGAAGAGGAAGACAUUUGUUUUAACAGCAUGUAAAAUUUAAUUGCUGUCUUUUG